GAGAGAGGCUCGCAGCAACGAAGACUGCUAAUCUCCGCGACUUUGGUUGGACUCCAGAGCUCACUCG
Molecule: transfer RNA, 67 nt
Filed under: Prionotus scitulus (leopard searobin)
Lineage: Eukaryota; Metazoa; Chordata; Actinopteri; Perciformes; Triglidae
Also listed under: 1 other name
Description: tRNA-Ser
Source: RNAcentral